RNAcentral lists this ribosomal RNA (379 nucleotides) under uncultured eukaryote. Its description in RNAcentral is "partial 18S ribosomal RNA". It matches the Rfam family "Eukaryotic small subunit ribosomal RNA", at positions 592 to 975 of the family's 1831-position model. The record is from RNAcentral.
CAAUAGCGUAUAUUAAAGUUGUUGCGGUUAAAAAGCUCGUAGUUGGAUUUCUGCUGAGAACGACCGGUCCGCCCUCUGGGUGUGUAUCUGGCUCUUUCUUGGCAUCUUCUUGGUGAACGUUGCUGCACUUGACUGUGUGGAGCGCUACCCAGGACUUUUACUUUGAGGAAAUUAGAGUGUUUCAAGCAGGCAUACGCCUUGAAUACAUUAGCAUGGAAUAAUAAUAUAGGACCUUGGUUCUAUUUUGUUGGUUUCUAGAACUGAGGUAAUGAUUAAUAGGGAUAUUUGGGGGCAUUCGUACUAACCGGUCAGAGGUGGAAUUCUUGGAUUCGGUUAUGACGAACGACUGCGAAAGCAUUUGUCAAGAAUGUUUUCAUUG